Molecule: ribosomal RNA, 500 nt
Filed under: uncultured bacterium
Lineage: Bacteria
Description: partial 16S ribosomal RNA
Rfam family: Bacterial small subunit ribosomal RNA
Source: RNAcentral
AUUGAACGCUGGCGGCAUGCCUUACACAUGCAAGUCGAACGGCAGCACGGGAGCAAUCCUGGUGGCGAGUGGCGAACGGGUGAGUAGUACAUCGGAACGUGCCUAGUAGUGGGGGAUAGCCCGGCGAAAGCCGGAUUAAUACCGCAUACGACCUGAGGGUGAAAGCGGGGGAUCGCAAGACCUCGCGCUAUCAGAGCGGCCGAUGCCAGAUUAGGUAGUUGGUGGGGUAAAAGCCUACCAAGCCGACGAUCUGUAGCUGGUCUGAGAGGACGACCAGCCACACUGGGACUGAGACACGGCCCAGACUCCUACAGGAGGCAGCAGUGGGGAAUUUUGGACAAUGGGCGCAAGCCUGAUCCAGCCAUGCCGCGUGCAGGAAGAAGGCCUUCGGGUUGUAAACUGCUUUUGUCAGGGAAGAAAAGUUCUGGGCUAAUACCCCGGAGCGAUGACGGUACCUGAAGAAUAAGCACCGGCUAACUACGUGCCAGCAGCCGCAGUAA